CAGUAGCCGCGGUAAUACGUAGGGUGCGAGCGUUAAUCGGAAUUACUGGGCGUAAAGCGUGCGCAGGCGGUUUUGUAAGUUUGUCGUGAAAUCCCCGGGCUCAACCUGGUAAUGGCGAUGAAGACUGCAAGGCUAGAGUUUGGCAGAGGGGGGUAGAAUUCCACGUGUAGCAGUGAAAUGCGUAGAUAUGUGGAGGAACACCGAUGGCGAAGGCAGCCCCCUGGGUCAAAACUGACGCUCAUGCACGAAAGCGUGGGGAGCAAACAGGAUUAGAUACCCCCGUAGUCCCUGUCUCUUAUCC
This 301-nucleotide ribosomal RNA is filed under the name uncultured bacterium. RNAcentral's name for it is "partial 16S ribosomal RNA". It matches the Rfam family "Bacterial small subunit ribosomal RNA", at positions 509 to 809 of the family's 1533-position model. The record is from RNAcentral.